Molecule: ribosomal RNA, 414 nt
Filed under: uncultured microorganism
Description: bacterial SSU rRNA
Rfam family: Archaeal small subunit ribosomal RNA
Source: RNAcentral
CAGCAGCCGCGGUAAUACCGGCGGCCCGAGUGGCGGUCACUAUUAUUGGGCUUAAAGCGUCCGUAGCCGGGUUGGGAAGGCCUCCGGGAAAUCUGGCCGCUUAACGGUCAGAAUGCCGGAGGAUACUCCCAGCCUAGGGAGCGGGAGAGGCCGAGGGGAUUCCCGGAGGAGGGGGGAAAUCCUAUAAUCCCGGGAGGACCACCUGUGGCGAAGGCGCUCGGCUGGAACGCGUCCGACGGUGAGGGACGAAGGCCAGGGGAGCAAACCGGAUUAGAUACCCGGGUAGUCCUGGCUGUAAACGAUGCGGACUUUGUGUCGGACAAGCUAUGAGCUUGUCCGGUGCCGGAGGGAAACCGUUAAGUCCGCCGCCUGGGGAGUACGGCCGCAAGGCUGAAACUUAAAGGAAUUGGCGGG